Molecule: transfer RNA, 73 nt
Organism: Mesorhizobium sp.
Lineage: Bacteria; Pseudomonadati; Pseudomonadota; Alphaproteobacteria; Hyphomicrobiales; Phyllobacteriaceae
Rfam family: tRNA
About the family: Transfer RNA (tRNA) molecules are approximately 80 nucleotides in length.
Source: Rfam
GCCCUUGUAGCUCAGCUGGUAGAGCAGCGGUUUUGUAAACCGAAGGUCGCGGGUUCGAUUCCUGCCGGGGGCA